UACGUAGGGUGCGAGCGUUAUUCGGAAUUACUGGGCGUAAAGCGUGCGCAGGCGGCUUUGCAAGACAGAUGUGAAAUCCCCGGGCUCAACCUGGGAACUGCAUUUGUGACUGCAAGGCUAGAGUACGGCAGAGGGGGAUGGAAUUCCGCGUGUAGCAGUGAAAUGCGUAGAUAUGCGGAGGAACACCAAUGGCGAAGGCAAUCCCCUGGGCCUGUACUGACGCUCAUGCACGAAAGCGUGUGGAGCAAACAGG
This 253-nucleotide ribosomal RNA is filed under the name uncultured bacterium. RNAcentral's name for it is "partial 16S ribosomal RNA". It matches the Rfam family "Bacterial small subunit ribosomal RNA", at positions 524 to 776 of the family's 1533-position model. The record is from RNAcentral.